CACUUUAUUUGAUUUCCUUCGGGACUGAUUAUUUUGUGACUGAGUGGCGGACGGGUGAGUAACGCGUGGGUAACCUGCCUUAUACAGGGGGAUAACAGUUGGAAACGGCUGCUAAUACCGCAUAAGCGCACGGCAUCGCAUGAUGCAGUGUGAAAAACUCCGGUGGUAUAAGAUGGACCCGCGUUGGAUUAGCUAGUUGGUGAGGUAACGGCCCACCAAGGCGACGAUUCAUAGCCGACCUGAGAGGGUGACCGGCCACAUUGGGACUGAGACACGGCCCAAACUCCUACGGGAGGCAGCAGUGGGGAAUAUUGCACAAUGGGCGAAAGCCUGAUGCAGCGACGCCGCGUGAGCGAAGAAGUAUUUCGGUAUGUAAAGCUCUAUCAGCAGGGAAGAUAAUGACGGUACCUGACUAAGAAGCACCGGCUAAAUACGUGCCAGCAGCCGCGGUAAUACGUAUGGUGCAAGCGUUAUCCGGAUUUACUGGGUGUAAAGGGAGCGCAGGCGGUGCGGCAAGUCUGAUGUGAAAGCCCGGGGCUCAACCCCGGUACUGCAUUGGAAACUGUCGUACUAGAGUGUCGGAGGGGUAAGCGGAAUUCCUAGUGUAGCGGUGAAAUGCGUAGAUAUUAGGAGGAACACCAGUGGCGAAGGCGGCUUAC
RNAcentral lists this ribosomal RNA (659 nucleotides) under uncultured Lachnospiraceae bacterium. Its description in RNAcentral is "bacterial SSU rRNA". It matches the Rfam family "Bacterial small subunit ribosomal RNA", at positions 65 to 729 of the family's 1533-position model. The record is from RNAcentral. Lineage: Bacteria; Bacillati; Bacillota; Clostridia; Lachnospirales; Lachnospiraceae.